AGAGUUUGAUCAUGGCUCAGGACGAACGCUGGCGGCGUGCCUAAUACAUGCAAGUAGAACGCUGACUACUUUAGCUUGCUAGAGUAGAAGGAGUUGCGAACGGGUGAGUAACGCGUAGGUAACCUGCCUACUAGCGGGGGAUAACUAUUGGAAACGAUAGCUAAUACCGCAUAACAGUGUUUAACACAUGUUAGAUGCUUGAAAGAUGCAAAUGCAUCACUAGUAGAUGGACCUGCGUUGUAUUAGCUAGUUGGUGGGGUAACGGCCUACCAAGGCGACGAUACAUAGCCGACCUGAGAGGGUGAUCGGCCACACUGGGACUGAGACACGGCCCAGACUCCUACGGGAGGCAGCAGUAGGGAAUCUUCGGCAAUGGGGGCAACCCUGACCGAGCAACGCCGCGUGAGUGAAGAAGGUUUUCGGAUCGUAAAGCUCUGUUGUAAGAGAAGAACGUGUGUGAGAGUGGAAAGUUCACACAGUGACGGUAACUUACCAGAAAGGGACGGCUAACUACGUGCCAGCAGCCGCGGUAAUACGUAGGUCCCGAGCGUUGUCCGGAUUUAUUGGGCGUAAAGCGAGCGCAGGCGGUUUAAUAAGUCUGAAGUUAAAGGCAGUGGCUUAACCAUUGUUCGCUUUGGAGACUGUUAAACUUGAGUGCAGAAGGGGAGAGUGGAAUUCCAUGUGUAGCGGUGAAAUGCGUAGAUAUAUGGAGGAACACCGGUGGCGAAAGCGGCUCUCUGGUCUGUAACUGACGCUGAGGCUCGAAAGCGUGGGGAGCAAACAGGAUUAGAUACCCUGGU
RNAcentral lists this ribosomal RNA (800 nucleotides) under uncultured bacterium. RNAcentral's name for it is "bacterial SSU rRNA". It matches the Rfam family "Bacterial small subunit ribosomal RNA", at positions 8 to 791 of the family's 1533-position model. The record is from RNAcentral.